UAUUUUUCUACUGCUGUUCUUUGCAGCUUGCGGUGAGUCUGCGGCUUCCCAGCUGCUAACGUCAAUCUGCCGAGCUGAGCUGGAGGCCCCGCUAUCACCGGAGAGCCCGCUCUCAGCCGACACUGGGCAGGUCUCUGUAGACAUGCAAAAUUCAGACACAGAUGAUGGCGCUGCGAUGGCACAACACACAACCAGAGCUACCGCUAAGGCGGAAGAGGCAGCGUGUUAGGAAUGCUCCGAAAGUAUGUGGACCUUAACGGCUGAGGAACAAGCUUGACAUUAGUUUCCCUCUGAAAGGAUACCUUGCACGAGCCGAGACGUGCAGAACAAAGCGGUCUGCUGAACCUUGCACUCGUUGCACCCACUGAGAAUUCAAGGGCUGCAAGCCGUGGGCCUGGAGCACCUAGCCCGACGUGAAGAUUGUGAAUUCACGUUAAAGAAGGAGCAGAUCGCAUUAGAGAAAUGACAACUGGAAGUGGACGAACAACAGUUGGCACUGGGAGAAAGAAAAGUUGCCCUCGAGGAGGAGAAGCAUAGGUUGCCAAUUCAAACUUAAACGACACAAUCAGCUGUUCGAGCGCAUGGAGCGCAUUGUAAUUAUUUUAUAAGAGAGAAUUGCUAGUCCUAAUGCAAUCUGAAUAAUUUGUUGCAAUCAUGCAUCCCACAAGUGAAUUUAAUGGAGUACUAGAGGACAGAGACGUGCAGUUAAUAUCCUAAACAUACCAAAACAGCUUGACGUAGCUUGCUGUCAGUCACGAUUGCUUACUCAGUGAGGAUGGUAUUGGGUAAAUUACAUGGGUGAAGGCAGCUUUCAACUUGCCGUAUGUUUUUUUUUUGUACCAGCCACU
Molecule: non-coding RNA, 848 nt
Organism: Dermacentor albipictus
Lineage: Eukaryota; Metazoa; Arthropoda; Arachnida; Ixodida; Ixodidae
Source: RefSeq, a predicted model, not a curated record